This 486-nucleotide ribosomal RNA is filed under the name uncultured bacterium. RNAcentral's name for it is "bacterial SSU rRNA". It matches the Rfam family "Bacterial small subunit ribosomal RNA", at positions 29 to 507 of the family's 1533-position model. The record is from RNAcentral.
AUUGAACGCUGGCGGCAUGCUUUACACUUGCAAGUCGAGCGGCAGCGCGGGGGCAACCCUGGCGGCAAGCGGCGGACGGGUGAGUAAUGCAUCGAAACGUAUCCCGUAGUGGGGGACAACCCAGCGAAAGCUGGGCUAAUACCGCAUAUGCUCUACGGAGGAAAGCAGGGGACCUGUGAGGGCCUUGUGCUAUGGGAGCGGCCGAUGUCCGAUUAGCUAGUUGGUGGGGUAAAGGCUUACCAAGGCGACAAUCGGUAGCUGGUCUGAGAGGAUGAUCAGCCACACUGGGACUGAGACACGGCCCAAACUCCUACGGGAGGCAGCAGUGGGGAAUUUUGGACAAUGGGGGCAACCCUGAUCCAGCCAUGCCGCGUGCGGAAAGAAGGCCUUCGGGUUGUAAACCGCUUUUGGUCGGGAAGAAAAGGUUACCUCUAACAGGGGUGACUAUUGACGGUACCGGCAAAAUAAGCACCGGCUAACUACGUG